RNAcentral lists this ribosomal RNA (383 nucleotides) under uncultured eukaryote. RNAcentral's name for it is "partial 18S ribosomal RNA". It matches the Rfam family "Eukaryotic small subunit ribosomal RNA", at positions 592 to 976 of the family's 1831-position model. The record is from RNAcentral.
CAAUAGCGUAUAUUAAAGUUGUUGCAGUUAAAAAGCUCGUAGUUGGAUUUCUGGUGGGAGCGAUCGGUCUGGCGCUUAGCGCGAGUACUUGCAUCGUCUCCGGCCAUCCUUGGGGAGAGUCUGUCUGGCAUUAGGUUGUCGGGCAGAGGAUCCUCAUCGUUUACUGUGAAAAAAUUAGAGUGUUCAAAGCAGGCUUAUGCCGUUGAAUAUAUUAGCAUGGAAUAAUAAGAUAGGACUUUGGUACUAUUUUGUUGGUUUGCGCACCAAAGUAAUGAUUAAUAGGGACAGUUGGGGGUAUUCGUAUUCCGUUGUCAGAGGUGAAAUUCUCGGAUUUACGGAAGACGAACUACUGCGAAAGCAUUUACCAAGGAUGUUUUCAUUAA